Molecule: ribosomal RNA, 471 nt
Filed under: uncultured bacterium
Lineage: Bacteria
Description: bacterial SSU rRNA
Rfam family: Bacterial small subunit ribosomal RNA
Source: RNAcentral
AUCCAGACUCCUACGGGAGGCAGCAGUAGGGAAUCUUCCGCAAUGGGCGAAAGCCUGACGGAGCAACGCCGCGUGAGUGAUGAAGGUCUUAGGAUCGUAAAACUCUGUUGUUAGGGAAGAACAAAUUUGUUAGUAACUGAACAAGUCUUGACGGUACCUAACCAGAAAGCCACGGCUAACUACGUGCCAGCAGCCGCGGUAAUACGUAGGUGGCAAGCGUUAUCCGGAAUUAUUGGGCGUAAAGCGCGCGUAGGCGGUUUCUUAAGUCUGAUGUGAAAGCCCACGGCUCAACCGUGGAGGGUCAUUGGAAACUGGGGAACUUGAGUGCAGAAGAGGAGAGUGGAAUUCCAUGUGUAGCGGUGAAAUGCGCAGAGAUAUGGAGGAACACCAGUGGCGAAGGCGGCUCUCUGGUCUGUAACUGACGCUGAUGUGCGAAAGCGUGGGGAUCAAACAGGAUUAGAUACCCCCGUA